This 212-nucleotide non-coding RNA is filed under the name Clostridiales bacterium. RNAcentral describes it as "T-box sequence". It matches the Rfam family "T-box leader". Rfam says of the family: Uncharged tRNA acts as the effector for transcription antitermination of genes in the T-box leader family. T-boxes are found upstream of many aminoacyl-tRNA synthetase genes and some amino acid biosynthetic genes usually in Gram-positive bacteria. The anticodon of a specific tRNA base pairs to a specifier sequence within the T-box motif, and the NCCA acceptor tail of the tRNA base pairs to a conserved bulge in the T-box antiterminator hairpin. The record is from RNAcentral. Lineage: Bacteria; Bacillati; Bacillota; Clostridia; Eubacteriales.
AUAAAUGCAUCGAUUGGGAGAAGUAGUCAAUCAUGCCUUAUCAAAGAGAGCGAGCGGUGCUGUGAGUUUCGCAUAAGGCAAUUGAUGAAAUGCACCCAUGAGCUUCCCGAAGGAAUAAAGUAUUUCGGGACGGUAUGCUCCGUUAUCGGCAAAGCCAUUUAAGUGGUUAAGUAUAAAACGGAGUGGAACCGCAGUAUUUUAUUGCCUCUGUC